This 496-nucleotide ribosomal RNA is filed under the name uncultured bacterium. RNAcentral describes it as "partial 16S ribosomal RNA". It matches the Rfam family "Bacterial small subunit ribosomal RNA", at positions 29 to 507 of the family's 1533-position model. The record is from RNAcentral.
AUGAACGCUGGCUGCGUGCCUAAUACAUGCAAGUCGAGCGAACGGACGAGAAGCUUGCUUCUCUGAUGUUAGCGGCGGACGGGUGAGUAACACGUGGAUAACCUACCUAUAAGACUGGGAUAACUUCGGGAAACCGGAGCUAAUACCGGAUAAUAUUUUGAACCGCAUGGUUCAAAAGUGAAAGACGGUCUUGCUGUCACUUAUAGAUGGAUCCGCGCUGCAUUAGCUAGUUGGUAAGGUAACGGCUUACCAAGGCAACGAUGCAUAGCCGACCUGAGAGGGUGAUCGGCCACACUGGAACUGAGACACGGUCCAGACUCCUACGGGAGGCAGCAGUAGGGAAUCUUCCGCAAUGGGCGAAAGCCUGACGGAGCAACGCCGCGUGAGUGAUGAAGGUCUUCGGAUCGUAAAACUCUGUUAUUAGGGAAGAACAUAUGUGUAAGUAACUGUGCACAUCUUGACGGUACCUAAUCAGAAAGCCACGGCUAACUACGUG